This is a long non-coding RNA of Symphalangus syndactylus (siamang), 294 nucleotides long. RefSeq lists it as uncharacterized. The record is from RefSeq and is a predicted model, not a curated record. Lineage: Eukaryota; Metazoa; Chordata; Mammalia; Primates; Hylobatidae.
GGGAGGCUGCGGGCUCCGGAGCGGGAGCGCAGAGACCCGAAGGAGGAUGAGACCAUCUAGUUACAGGAAAACAAGCUCAAGGCUCCCACUGAUUCUACAUUAUGGUCUUACAGAAAAAUUAACUCAAAAUGGAUUACAGACCUAAGUGUAAAUGCAAAACUAUGAAACUUCUAGGGGAAAACAGAAGAGAAAAUCUCUGUGAGUUUGAGUUUGGUGUUGAGAUUUUACACCACCACCAAAAACAUGAUGCAAGAAAAUAAAACUUGAUGUUCUGGGCUUAAUUAAAAUUAAAAA